CUUCUCUUUACUUCUGCUCAGCUGUAAAACUACCAUGUGGUCCUUGAUGCAGCCAGGCAGAGACGUGACAGACUGGUCAGCUGGACGUAAGGAAAAGCUGAGUCGCUCCCUCUCCCUCUCACUAAGUGGAUUUAACCCAUCAGCGAAUGGGUGAGGAGACGAGGGAUAAAAAUGCCGUGGAAACCUGGCUGAGCUAAUUCCAGCCCACCUUGGGGUUGGAGCUGACAGUGACACUGCAUGAACUUAUUGCAGUGACUGAAAGGUGAAAGAAGUAUCCUGUGCUUUCAGUCGAGUACAAGUAGCAACACUGUAACAUGAUCAAUUACCAAUCAAAGUCUUGUCUUCAGCAUGUUAAUUAUAUUAAACUGUGCCAGUAUUAGCUAGUAUCAACUCACUGUUGUAUUAACGAAUUAACAAACUACCUUUCCAGGAAGGAUGAUAGAUGUAAGGUUAGGAAAUAAUUUUAGAUAGUGGAUAUCUCCUCUGUGGAGUUCCUGAGGUGUGAUGAGGCUCUUGAAAUCCCUGAAAACUUGGCACCACAUCUCAAAGGUGCCCUGUGGAGGUUUUAUGUAAGUAAACAGAAGUUAUAUUAACAUUCAGCAUUAGCUGCCAAAUGGCACUGUUUGUAUCUACGAGGUGUAUAUUAAGUGUGUUUAAUACAUGCCUCCUUCAUAAUGUACUCAUAAAGCUGAAUUUGGGGAAUAUUACAAAGCCUGCAUUGUUAACUUGCCAGCAGUCCAGUUCUAAACUGCCUAUAGCUGUUUCGCUCGUUGACUUUCAGCUGUCAGCUCUGGUUUCCCACUGUUUUGCAUUUACAUUGUUAUCUUCUCCAAGGAGGUAGCAUUUGCAUGCAUGCAUAUCAUUCUGUCUGUAACGAUAACUCAAAUAAACUUACAUUAAUUCUGAUAAAAGCUUUUUAUGGCUGUAAGGUUAACAAGUCUUUACAAACUUGCCUUUUAUCGACCAAGUCUUUAAGGUCAACUUAAGGAUUUAUUGGUCAAACUGGGACAAAAAGCCAUAAAACUGUUAUAGUUAGGUGGCAUGAAUUGUCAACAUAUAAAAGUACUGUGUAAAGAUUUAAAAUUUCAUGUUACAUUUGACCUCUGACCUCUCCUUCAAGGUCAAUAGAUUGAGCUAAAACUGCUAAAACUCUCUUUCUUACUGCCGUUGUUUGUAUUGACCACAUGUAAGCAUAUAGACAAUGAUUUCUGAGCUUUCUAAAUAUCACGUUACGUUGGACCUCUGAC
Molecule: long non-coding RNA, 1247 nt
Organism: Astatotilapia calliptera (eastern happy)
Lineage: Eukaryota; Metazoa; Chordata; Actinopteri; Cichliformes; Cichlidae
Source: Ensembl